GACAUUUGGUAGAGACUGUUGGAGACACCUGGUCCUAGCAGACCCCAGAAAAACGGCCACAUUCGCUGGUGCUGGGGCAAGGUUGUCAAGGGUGAAGCCUGGUGCCAGAUGUGU
Molecule: ribosomal RNA, 114 nt
Filed under: Panthera tigris altaica (Amur tiger)
Lineage: Eukaryota; Metazoa; Chordata; Mammalia; Carnivora; Felidae
Source: RNAcentral